RNAcentral lists this ribosomal RNA (204 nucleotides) under uncultured bacterium. RNAcentral describes it as "partial 16S ribosomal RNA". It matches the Rfam family "Bacterial small subunit ribosomal RNA", at positions 332 to 527 of the family's 1533-position model. The record is from RNAcentral.
AUUACUCCUACGGGAGGCAGCAGUGGGGAAUAUUGGACAAUGGGCGGAAGCCUGAUCCAGCCAUGCCGCGUGUGUGAAGAAGGCCUUAUGGUUGUAAAGCACUUUAAGCGAGGAGGAGGCUACUUGGAUUAAUACUCUAGGAUAGUGGACGUUACUCGCAGAAUAAGCACCGGCUAACUCUGUGCCAGCAGCCGCGGUAAUAAU